GCCAGAGUGGUGUAGUGGUUUGAGCUUUGGACUGUGAGUCUCAAGACCAGGGUUCAAAUCUCCACUCAGCCA
This is a non-coding RNA of Phrynosoma platyrhinos (Desert horned lizard), 72 nucleotides long. The record is from the annotation of a GenBank genome assembly. NCBI's taxonomy places the organism in Eukaryota, Metazoa, Chordata, Lepidosauria, Squamata, Phrynosomatidae.